UACGAAGGGGGCUAGCGUUGCUCGGAAUCACUGGGCGUAAAGCGCACGUAGGCGGACUCUUAAGUCGGUGGUGAAAUCCUGGAGCUCAACUCCAGAACUGCCUUCGAUACUGAGAGUCUCGAGUCCGGGAGAGGUGAGUGGAACUGCGAGUAUAGAGGUGAAAUUCGUAGAUAUUCGCAAGAACACCAGUGGCGAAGGCGGCUCACUGGCCCGGUACUGACGCUGAGGUGCGAAAGCGUGGGGAGCAAACAGG
RNAcentral lists this ribosomal RNA (253 nucleotides) under uncultured bacterium. RNAcentral's name for it is "partial 16S ribosomal RNA". It matches the Rfam family "Bacterial small subunit ribosomal RNA", at positions 524 to 776 of the family's 1533-position model. The record is from RNAcentral.